Pristis pectinata (smalltooth sawfish) is the source of this 538-nucleotide long non-coding RNA. RefSeq lists it as uncharacterized. Lineage: Eukaryota; Metazoa; Chordata; Chondrichthyes; Rhinopristiformes; Pristidae. The transcript is spliced from 4 exons. The record is from RefSeq and is a predicted model, not a curated record.
GUGGUUCAGUGUUUGGGGAGGGACUGAGGCUUUGGUUCAGGAGCAUUUGUUGAGAAGGGGCUGAGUAAGUGACCUUGGUGAGGGGAGUGUGAGCAGCUCAUUUUAAAAAAAAGUUUCAGUCAGAAGACACAGACCAGAUUGUGAAUCAUUAAAAAGUAAAGUAACUGACUUGAGUUGCCACUUGCAUUAAAGAAGCAGGACAAAGGGCGUCUCAGCCAACCAAGGUGAAUUGCAUGAAAAACACUAAUCCUGGAGGAACUCAGCAGGCCAGGCAAGGUGAACUGCAUAAUUGAAGUCCAACUGACAAGAGUGACUGCACCUUGUAUCACGUGGGACCCCACAUGAAACGUAGGCUCCUUUUUCUUCAGGUUUAUGCAGACUGAAUGUUGACCAUCAAGCCUCAGGCCUCUUUCAACUUGCUUAACUGAGGUCAGGCAGUGAGACCUCUGCAGCUCCUGGCCUUUGGGCAGCAUUGUGCAGGGGCUUCAACCCAACCACUGCCGCCCACCCCAGUAACAGGGCAGAAUUGGGACCGGAA